GGACGAACAGCACUUGGGAGAUGUAUAGUCCUCUUAUGAGGCUAAUUAUGUUUGAGACAGAAGUAUAAUAGAUAUUUCAGAACGUUAUACAAACAUAAGACCAACUACGUUGGCUAAAGUUCUAGAUAGAAUACUGAUUGUGACAAUUUUCUAUCUACUUGUCUUGACCAAAUUACGUGCCAGCAGUCGCGGUAAUACGUAAAAGACUAGUGUUAUCCAUCUUUAAUAGGUUUAAAGGGUACCUAGACGGCGAUUAUUAACCUUAAAUACGGAUAUAGUUCUUGCUAGAGUUUGAUAAGAGAAGGGGAGUAUUUUCGGAGUAGAGAUGAAAUUCUUUGAUACCCUAAGGACUGGCAAUGGCGAAAGCGACCUUUUAUGUAAAAACUGACGUUGAGGGACGGAGGCUUGGAUAGCGAACAGGAUUAGAUACCCUAGUAGUCUUUGCAGAGAAUGAUGAAUGCCAUAGAUUAGAUAAAUUUAGUUUAUAAAUGAAAGUGUAAGCAUUCCACCUCAAGAGUAAUGUGGCAACGCUGGAACUGAAAUCAUUAGACCGUUUCUGAGAACAGUAGUGAAGUAUGUUGUUUAAUUCGGUAAUCCUCGAAAAACCUUACCACAACUUGUAUAUCAUCAUGCCACUACGAAGUAGAAAAGAACUCAGGUGUAUAUACUACAAGUAUUCGGUUCCAAAAGUAGAAAAGGUAAAAGUCUAAAUGUGUCCUUUACUUCUGUAAAUGGUAUUUCGUGUUUAGACAUUUAUCAGGGGUGAUGUUACAUGUGUUGCACGGUUGUCUUCAGCUAAUGUCGUGAGAUUUUGGUUCGUUCCAUCAAAUUAGCGGAAACCCCGGUUUUAUUUUUAAAUUAUUAACAUAAAGCAGUUUACUGAUACAAUGGGUAUAUUAUAACAGGGAUCC
RNAcentral lists this ribosomal RNA (911 nucleotides) under Hypohelion anhuiense. RNAcentral's name for it is "SSU rRNA". It matches the Rfam family "Bacterial small subunit ribosomal RNA", at positions 1 to 1182 of the family's 1533-position model. The record is from RNAcentral. Lineage: Eukaryota; Fungi; Ascomycota; Leotiomycetes; Rhytismatales; Rhytismataceae.